UGUAAGUUAGUGGCGGACGGGUGAGUAACGCGUGGGCAACCUGCCCCAUACCGGGGGAUAACACCUGGAAACAGGUGCUAAAACCGCAUAAGCGCACAGCUUCGCAUGAAGGUGUGUGAAAAACUCCGGUGGUAUGGGAUGGGCCCGCGUCUGAUUAGCUGGUUGGCGGGGUAACGGCCCACCAAGGCAACGAUCAGUAGCCGGCCUGAGAGGGUGGACGGCCACAUUGGGACUGAGACACGGCCCAAACUCCUACGGAAGGCAGCAG
This 268-nucleotide ribosomal RNA is filed under the name uncultured bacterium. RNAcentral describes it as "partial 16S ribosomal RNA". It matches the Rfam family "Bacterial small subunit ribosomal RNA", at positions 86 to 354 of the family's 1533-position model. The record is from RNAcentral.